Falco peregrinus (peregrine falcon) is the source of this 2662-nucleotide long non-coding RNA. RefSeq lists it as uncharacterized. NCBI's taxonomy places the organism in Eukaryota, Metazoa, Chordata, Aves, Falconiformes, Falconidae. The transcript has 2 exons. The record is from RefSeq and is a predicted model, not a curated record.
AGAGACUGGGAAAAGAUCCCCUACCAAAAGUCUGUUGAACCACAUCUGUGGUGAUUCUCAGUCAAUGCAGACAGACAUACCAGUAGAAAAAACACCUACUUUGACUGGACAAGAGGACAGUGAGAAUGACAUUGUUCUUGUGGAGCAACCACAAAAGGCUGGGGUUAAAUACACUGUUUUCCCAAGAAGAAAAGAAAGAAAUCAAAGAAAAUAAUAAACCCUAGAAAAUUAGAUGUGAUUAAGAAAUUAAGUCAACCCCCAAAGAUUCUUAAAAGUUUUUUUUUUUAUUAAUGUGUAUUGCCUUUUUAAAGAAUGUAUUUUCAUUUGUAAUUGUUAUCUAAUUACAGGUUUUGUUUUUUUAAUAUUUAAUAUUCCCCUGCAAUUAAAUAAUCAUAGUUUAGUUGUUUAGGAAUAAUAUAUGUAAUUUUAAUGCAAAGAAAAAACCCCUGCUGCUUGGGUAUCUUUAGAACGUUUAACAUUUACUGCACUUUAAAUUGAAAUGGUGGUGCUUUGUGCAACAACGGAAGUUUUAUCUAAGGAUAAAUGCAUGAUUAAAAUCAUCAAACCUCUUCUGAAAGACAAGGGGGAAAUUCUAAGAUCUUAGUAAACCGACUGGACUAACCACCUUUGUACCAUGAACUUCACAGAUUACAUCAAACAAGUAAGUUUCCUUUUUACCUUUUGUUUUCAUGUAUCACUCUAAAUACUUUCCCAGUAUUUAUUAUUUAAGCACUUCAGAUAUAGGGUGCCUUAGCAAAUAUUCAAGUAUUUAAAAAAAAAAAAAAAGGAGAGAGAAAAGAAAUUAAUGUUCUUGCUAGUUUUUUUUGAUAUUUCUUAAACACUUAUGCUUAAAGUGUGACCUGCAAAAAGAUUCCAAAUGUUGUUUAUUUUUGUGUACAGUCAUAUGCAUCCACACUGUACUUACACUGAUGUUCAGACCUGGUCCUUAAGGCCAGUUUUCCAUUCAGCUUCUUCUUUUUCUACUUUUAGGCACCUUUCAGUAGGUUUAUUCUUAAGAAAAUCAAAGAUACUUAAGUGGUGUGAUAUACUGGUAUAGUGAGCUGUGACUAAGGGAGAAGGUGGCCUUUUUCCAAAGUCUUGUUUUAGACAGGGUGCUUGCUGUAUGUUCUUUGCUGUCUAAGACUUUCAUAUCAGUUUUGCUAAACCAAGGGAAUUUCAUCUUCAUCUUUGUACAAUUUUGCAUGCCAUUCAUGCAUGGACCUGCUACAUUUUUUAUUUAAUUUCCCUUUUUUUUCCUAGUAGGAUCCUUAUGUAUAAGAUAUUAUAAAUAUUAGAUACAUAGUGUUAUAAAUAUGUAUGUAUAAAAUAUUUUCUCUGUAUUCCCUUCUGUGUUAGCAAGGCUAGUAUUGUUUGUGAUAAAGAUUAAGUGUUUCUUUUAAAGACUUCUGUUUCUUUCACCAUGAUGUCUCAAAGCAGAUGUUGAUAUUGAAUAUUUGUGAAGGUUCUCACCUUGGAAGCUAUGCAUUUUCCCAGAUGAUCAUGUUGGAAAUGUCCUUGUAAAUUCAGGUGGUUUUUUUCACCUCUGGGUGGUGCUUCUUACAGUCUCAUGACCUUUUCCUACUAUCAUUGGGUUCUGUCAUUGAUAUAUUUAUCCAUCCAGGAUUUAUCAUCAUUUGACAAGGCUGGUAAUUGUCCACUCUGAAAUAUUGUCCUUUCUUAGGUUUAGCACUGUCCUUGUAAACCCAAGUUAGAAGCUUUUGGAGGAAAUAAGCAUGUAACUGCAAGUCUGAGUCUCUGGGAAGGCUCCCUAUUCAUGAUAAAUUCAGUAUCAAGGUGUCUUCAGCAAUCAAAAAAUAUCAGAGCCCCAGCAUCCCUUGUUUGUUAGAUUUUGAGAAGUUUGCAAAAGUGAGAGGUGGAAUUCCAAAAGAAACUUCUGCUUGCCUGUGUGUCAAUGGAGUAUGGAACUCCUGGUUUGAUGAAACUUUCCCUCCUUGUGGGACUGCUUCUGAGGAGAAGGAUGCUGAGUUACUAAAAGGAACUGAGAUGACAGAGUCUCAAGAAGCAAAAUUAGAACUAGUUGACUCAAUACAGCCUGUUCUUGAAGGUGCAACAGUUAGUUCUGAAGAUUUAGAAGAAGUAGUAAGACUACUGACUAUGUUAAUAGAAAAGGAGGAGCACCCUUCAACUUUUCACUACUGUAGGCAUGGAACAAUACAAAGAAAGUUAGGCAAGUUAAAGUCAGCUAUAGAUGACUUGGAAAAAGUAAGUCUAAUGUUAAAUUUUACUUCUAUCAAGCACCUUCUUUUUUUUUUUUUUUUAACUGAGUAUCUGAGUUCUUCAACAGGUGAGCUAGAAGCAGGAGAACUGAUAACUAGCUGAAUGCUGCCACCUUUUACCUUUGUAUGACAGCAUGAUCUAAGUUUUGUCCCACAGCAAUGAAGAUGCAGGCUCUUAAUAAACUGUGUUUGUUUAGUGUUCUCAGGGGACCAUAGUGUUUCUUUGGAGACCUUGCUCAGGACACAACACUCCUAAAGGGAGUUGGAGAUAGGACAGACACAAUGAACAGAAAGUCUUUUGAUUCAGUUUUUGCUGCUGGCAAAGCUAACAAAUACAUUUUUAAUUUCUGCAGAAGUAUAGUAAGCAAAUACAUUGAAAAGUCAUGUAUUCCUAUAAUCAUUUGACACUAAGAUUUUAUACAAUA